Molecule: ribosomal RNA, 207 nt
Filed under: uncultured bacterium
Lineage: Bacteria
Description: partial 16S ribosomal RNA
Rfam family: Bacterial small subunit ribosomal RNA
Source: RNAcentral
CUUGUAGGCGGUUUGUCGCGUCUGCUGUGAAAUUUCGGGGCUCAACCCCGAACUUGCAGUGGGUACGGGCAGACUAGAGUGUGGUAGGGGAGACUGGAAUUCCUGGUGUAGCGGUGAAAUGCGCAGAUAUCAGGAGGAACACCGAUGGCGAAGGCAGGUCUCUGGGCCACUACUGACGCUGAGAAGCGAAAGCAUGGGGAGCGAACA